Molecule: long non-coding RNA, 2859 nt
Filed under: Octopus sinensis (East Asian common octopus)
Lineage: Eukaryota; Metazoa; Mollusca; Cephalopoda; Octopoda; Octopodidae
Description: uncharacterized LOC118766740
Source: RNAcentral
GUCCUUGUUUGUCCUGUCUGUGUUUAGCCCCUUGUGGCUAGUAAAGAAAUAGGUAUCUAGUUACAGCUUUUUAUAAUUUAAGUUCAAAUCUCACUAAGAUCAACUUUACCUUUCAUUUUCCCUGGGUCCAUAUAAUCCAAAUUAUACCCUCCCCAAAAUCCUGGCCUUUUGCCUCUUUAAGAAGUCACUACUACUACAACCACUGAGUUGUUUGGCAAAAGUGAUGGACAUACAAUUUUACGACCCUUUAUGUUCUAAGUUCAUAUUUCAUUGAUGGUUGAUCAUUCCUUUUAAUCUCCCUGGAGUCAAUGAAUACUAAGGUUGAUCUAGUUAACCCCAUAAUAACUUUAUUAAGGUGGCAAGCUGACAGACUUGUUAACAUGCUUUUAGCAUUUUGUCUGUCUUUAUGCUCAGGGUUAGAGUUCCACUGAGCUUGAGUUUGCUUUUCCUCUUAAUGAGGUUGAUAUAAUUAAUUUGCCCCCAUCCCACAAAAUUUCAGGUCUUCUCAAAAUUAGAGUUAUUAUUAGUUGAAAGCUGUAGCCUCCCAUUAUUAUGAAGUUUUACUCAGUCACUCAGAAAAUAGUAGCUAAAUCUCUCUCAAAUAGCUACCCCUUCUGGACAAAAUGUCUUAUGGUAUUUAGUUAUGUGUUUUGUUUUUGUGCAUAAAUCUCACCACAGUUAACUUUCUCUUCCAUCCUUCAAGAAAGUUUUACAAAAUUAUAGAAAAUAAUAAUCAGGUACUGGGGUGGAUAUACCCUGAAUGCCUCCCUACCCCAUUCAGUUUGUAAGACACCCUGUCCAGUGAGAAAUCUGUCUUUUAUUAGUCCAUGGGUAGGAAACGCAUGCUUAGGACCAAGGGUGAAUUGCAGUUAUGUGUGGGUGCACCACAUCUGUGCUGGGGAAAAUAAUCUUAAAUUUACAAUUUAAUUUGGGUGUAUAAUUUGUUUUAAAUUAUUGUUAUUGGUUUUAAACAGAUUAUUUUCCAUAAUCUGUUUUAUCCUUAAAAUGUGGUUGUUUAGAGAGAGACAACAUCUGUGGUUGGUGGAUUUAGAUUUAGAUAAAGCUAUUCCCCACCUUUCAUAUUUGAUUAAUACCUGAGAAUCUUGACUAAAGAUUGAUAGCAUACACCCACCCCUAGAAGAGAAUUUACUAACCACAGGAUCAGCAUUAAGAGUUCUAAAUCACAGACCAUUUUCUCCAAGUAACCAGAAUGAAAGCCCUGCUGAAACCCUACAGAGAACUUCUGCGGUAUCCUUUGGACCUGCUAGAAAUAGUAGCCAAACCACAUCAAACCCUCUUACAGAAAGAACACAGACAACAUGCUUCUAGCAGCAUUGUGACCAAGUCAAGAUGGUUCCUAACAAGGGGGGUCUUUGAUCAUAAGUUUGGUCAGUCAGGUAUAUCCUUCAGCUAAAUAAUAAUUAAAACUUAAAUGCAAGUUCUAUGGUUGUACUUAACUAUGUUGGCAGUGAGACGUACUCUAAUUGGGCUAAACUAGAGUACCCCAACCAACACAUUUUCUACACACUACUUACAAUCUACAACGAAAUAGAGAAAUAUAACAUAUUUAACAGAAAUAUAACACAUACACAAGAAAUUUAGAAAUAUAACAUACAUACACACACACAUUUUUAGCUUCUUUCUGACAUAAGACAAAAUCCUACCGGAAAGAAUAAGGGAUCUCACAAGGGACUCUGAUGACCCCAGAUUUUAGCCAUGUGCAUGUGGGAAGUGCCAUACAUUAACAACCAAAUCUACAUUUCAAUUUUGUGCCGUUGUAAAAGAGACAGAAAUUGGUUAUUUUUGUUUUAGUUGAUGAUAAUAAUAAUGAUGAUGAUGAUGAUGAUGAUUAGUAGCAACAACAACAAUGAGAUAUUCAUUAACACUUUAUAAUUAAUCUUAGAGAUUUCUAAUGAAUUUCUAUCAAGAAUCAAGGUUAUUAUCAACAAAAAACUUCCUCCCCACUCUCUCUGAAACAAACACACACACUCUCUCUCUCUCUCUCUUUCACUCUUUCCCUCUCUCUCAGCUGUUUCUCUCCCUUUACUUUCCUCUCCUUCUCCUCCACAAAUUCUUCCCUCUCUCCUUCUCUUUAAUUCUACCUCUCAAUCUUUUACUUACUCUGUCUCCGUCUUUCUCGUUUUUCCCUUUCAACCAACGAAAGAGCCCCUAUGCGGUUAAUUGUUCUGCUACAAAUAGCAGCACAAUCACCUUCAAAUCACAGCUGGAGUAUCUUUGAUCAUAGGUCUGUCUGUUUACUAGAUCAAGGUUAACCUGAGGCUAAACAACACCAACUCAUUGAUUUCAAAUGUCUCCCCCCCUCCAUGCCCAACCCCCCAAAGUCUUCUAUAUUUCUAUCUCCUUCUCAGUCUCUCUUUUACUCUUCUUUUCACCCCACUUCCCAUACAAUGUACAAGAAUGAGGCCUACCCUCACUACUACUACUACUACUACUAUACUACUACUAAUACUACUACUACUACACUUCACAGAUUUUUAAUUAGAAAUCAUUUAGUUAUAGAAUGCACCAACCAUUGUCUAAUCAAGCACACCCCUGAUUUUCAAUGACCAAUCAGUGUCUCAUUAAGUCCACUGUUGAUCAAUGAAUAACCUGAAACCCUCCCACUCUUCCCCACCCCCACAAUCACCCACUACUGACCAGUCACUAUCCACAUUCUAUACUUUCCACUGGUCAACAUCACAGCAUCUUCAUCCCUCCCCAUCUCAUAUCUCACUCUUCUGACCUUCACCUUUCACCUUUGACUCACCUCCCACCCUCACCCAGAUAGUUUUAUAUACUGCAAAAAAAAAAGAAGAAAAAAAAAAGGAAAGCAAGAAACAAUACAAAUAUAGUGUAAAU